UACACUCCUACGGGAGGCAGCAGUGGGGAAUAUUGGACAAUGGGCGCAAGCCUGAUCCAGCCAUGCCGCGUGAGUGAUGAAGGCCCUAGGGUUGUAAAGCUCUUUCACCGGUGAAGAUAAUGACGGUAACCGGAGAAGAAGCCCCGGCUAACUUCGUGCCAGCAGCCGCGGUAAUACGAAGGGGGCUAGCGUUGUUCGGAUUUACUGGGCGUAAAGCGCACGUAGGCGGACUAUUAAGUCAGGGGUGAAAUCCCGGGGCUCAACCCCGGAACUGCCUUUGAUACUGGUAGUCUUGAGUUCGAGAGAGGUGAGUGGAAUUCCGAGUGUAGAGGUGAAAUUCGUAGAUAUUCGGAGGAACACCAGUGGCGAAGGCGGCUCACUGGCUCGAUACUGACGCUGAGGUGCGAAAGCGUGGGGAGCAAACAGGAUUAGAUACCCGUGUAGUCC
This 447-nucleotide ribosomal RNA is filed under the name uncultured organism. RNAcentral's name for it is "partial 16S ribosomal RNA". It matches the Rfam family "Bacterial small subunit ribosomal RNA", at positions 332 to 796 of the family's 1533-position model. The record is from RNAcentral.